UUUAGCAACUUAUUUAAUAUUGCUUUGGUUGAUUCAGUGAAACAAUGGAGGAAAAGGGGAAAAAAACAACAACUGGGAAGGUCUCCUGACAAAUGUGCCUUUCAGGACGUCAGCCCAGUGAAAAAUGAGAUCCUGCUGGUUUGAAACUCAGGCGAGUGGCGGGUUUGUGGCUGAUCAACCAGAUGUUCCUCAAGCGACAGUCCUGCUGUGGGCUUUCAGCUCAGCUUUGCUUAUGUCGGGAUUUCAGAUCAUUCCAGGAGAGGUGAAGCAGAAAGUUGUGGCCAAAGAAGGCCUGCUAUCGGAAUGAGAGUUGCGCUCCUGGCUCUGGCCUGAGUGGCUGUUUGGCUUUAGUUAGGUACCAGUCUCAGUACCACUGCCUUGCCCUGUUUAGAAGAGAGUAGCUCUAUAGGCCAAGCUGGUCUCUGACUUUGCAUGCUACCUUACUUCCAAAUGCUCAGAUUGCAUGGUCUGUCUCCAUGCCUGCCUACAAGAUGAACAAAAAGACUGGAAACGACCUCACUGUUCAUCAACAGAAUUAUCAAAUAGGAAGAUCCAUACAUUGGAAUUUUAUGCCGCCAUUUAAAAGAGCUGGGUCUCCCGCUGAACAUGACACUCACCAGCUCUACUCGACUGGCUGGCCAGGAGUCUCAGGACCCUGUGUUCCCACCUCCCCAGUGCUGAGAUUACAGUCAGAUGUUCUCAUACCAGCUUUUCGUGUGGGACCCGGGGAUCAAAUUCAUAUCCUCAUUCUGCAUGGAAUGCAUGUGACUGACCGAGCUAUCUCUCCAGGCCCUCUGCUUUCCUCCUUUUUAAAAAUGGCUGGAGAUACACAGCUGGGAAGUUUCAGAAAGACAACACUGCUCAGCAUAUCAAUGGAACAUGUGACUCACUGAGAGCAGCAGCUGGAAAUGCAGGAGCGGAAACAGCCUCCUUUUGCUCACUGUCAUGCUGUUCCCACCAUUACGGACUCUACCUCUCUGGAACAAAACAAAUUUCACAGAACACAGAGGCUCCAGAGUGGCUCCUCCUCCCCUGCCUUUCCCCACCACUUAACUGGAGCACCUUCAGCAUCAGGUCUCACGGACCCCUUACGUGGUCACUUCUCAAAUGAGUGGUGUUACUGGAGGUGCGGCCGCCUUGUUGGAGGAAGUGUGUCCCAGUCUCUCCCUGCUGC
This is a long non-coding RNA of Onychomys torridus (southern grasshopper mouse), 1174 nucleotides long. RefSeq lists it as uncharacterized. Lineage: Eukaryota; Metazoa; Chordata; Mammalia; Rodentia; Cricetidae. The transcript has 8 exons. The record is from RefSeq and is a predicted model, not a curated record.